RNAcentral lists this ribosomal RNA (497 nucleotides) under uncultured bacterium. RNAcentral describes it as "partial 16S ribosomal RNA". It matches the Rfam family "Bacterial small subunit ribosomal RNA", at positions 28 to 507 of the family's 1533-position model. The record is from RNAcentral.
GAUGAACGCUGGCGGCGUGCCUAAUACAUGCAAGUCGAGCGAACGGACGAGAAGCUUGCUUCUCUGAUGUUAGCGGCGGACGGGUGAGUAACACGUGGAUAACCUACCUAUAAGACUGGGAUAACUUCGGGAAACCGGAGCUAAUACCGGAUAAUAUUUUGAACCGCAUGGUUCAAAAGUAAAAGACGGUCUUGCUGUCACUUAUAGAUGGAUCCGCGCUGCAUUAGCUAGUUGGUAAGGUAACGGCUUACCAAGGCAACGAUGCAUAGCCGACCUGAGAGGGUGAUCGGCCACACUGGAACUGAGACACGGUCCAGACUCCUACGGGAGGCAGCAGUAGGGAAUCUUCCGCAAUGGGCGAAAGCCUGACGGAGCAACGCCGCGUGAGUGAUGAAGGUCUUCGGAUCGUAAAACUCUGUUAUUAGGGAAGAACAUAUGUGUAAGUAACUGUGCACAUCUUGACGGUACCUAAUCAGAAAGCCACGGCUAGCUACGUG